AGUGACCUGCCUUGGAGUGGGGAAUAACACAGUGAAAACUGUGCUAAUACCGCAUAAUGCAUUUGGGUCGCAUGAUUCUGAAUGCCAAAGAUUUAUCGCUCUGAGAUGGACUCGCGUCUGAUUAGCUAGUUGGCGGGGUAACGGCCCACCAAGGCGACGAUCAGUAGCCGGACUGAGAGGUUGGCCGGCCACAUUGGGACUGAGACACGGCCCAG
This 215-nucleotide ribosomal RNA is filed under the name uncultured bacterium. RNAcentral's name for it is "partial 16S ribosomal RNA". It matches the Rfam family "Bacterial small subunit ribosomal RNA", at positions 120 to 334 of the family's 1533-position model. The record is from RNAcentral.